UUAUUCAUUCGAUAUAAAUAACAUUCUGUAUGAAAGCUAUACAGAUUCUCUAUUCGAGCCGGAAAUAUUCCAAAUACGUACUUGAACCUCUAUAAACAAAUAUCAUAUGCGGUAAUACACAUAAAGCAAUUAUCUACCAUACCUCUCAUUCGUAUUUAUUAUUUCAAAUUAGAAUCUCUUUAAGAAAUAGAUUCUUGUCCUUUUCUUUUCUCGAUUUUUACUUUGGUUUCGAACGUUGAGAAAUCCUCUGUUGAAAUAUGAGAAUCUUUUACAAUUUGAUCUGACGAUACUUAAAUUUACUUAUCGGAUACCAUAAAAAUAUAAAAAUAUUAUUUUCUUAUUUUAUGCAUCUUAUUUGAUCAUCUUUUAUUGAAGCGAUGAUUAACGCGUUCUUUGCUGAGUAUCGUUACUGAGUCAUUGUCGGAGAUUGUCAAAUGAAGAGUUGGAAAAUUUUCAGAGAGAAAGAGAGAAUCAAGUUUCACGGUAUAAGCAUCGGAUAAAUUUCGUAGAAAGAUUAAUCGUUAACACGACGUACUAUCGAUAAUGGAAAUUCGAUCGGCGGUGAACGCGUUAAAGAGCAUGAACAAAGGUUGGUACAGUUGACUGAAAAUUUCCUAAGCAUUCCUGUGUCACGUCGCGCGAGCUAAUUUGAAAUCGCCGGCGAAUGAACCGAGCCGACCGAGUUUCAAAACCUUCGCUCCGUGCUUGUCCGCUGUUUUAUGCAUCGUGCAAACACGUGCGUGGUUGAUCCGUGGAUAUCGUUAAUUAGUCAGCAAACAGGAUGGUUAUUCGAAUAACUGGAAUAAACAAAAAUAAAGACCUACGUAUGAAAAUAAAGUGCGGUGGCAUUCCUUUUGAUACGAGCGACUCAAAUGCCUAUAAAUAUCUGUUUCUGAAAUUUGUUAAUGCUUUGUACGUUGAUUCAUCGAAUAUUAAAAGACAAUCUUACGCUUAAAAAGCUGACACAAGCCAAUGACCUUGUUACGUCUCAAUGAUAAUAUAAUAAUUUCAUUGUAACCAAAGGUUUACAGAUAUCAACGUGUUAAUUGGCAAAUACAUUUUCCGGCAUUUUUUAAUUUGAAUUUUUUCAUUUUAAAUUGAUUCAUGGAAUAUUAAAAGACAAUCUUACGCUUAAAAAGCUGACAUAGGCCAAUGAUCUUGUUACGUCUCAAUGAUAAUAUAAUAAUUUCAUUGUAACCAAAGGUUUGCAGAUAUCAACGUGUUAAUUGGCAAAUACAUUUUCCGGCAUUUUUUAAUUUGAAAUUUUUCAUUUUUUUUUUUCUUUAAGGUACUGUACUUUAAUUGUACUUUCACGCAAUUUUAAAAGUAAUUUCGUUGUAUAUUACAUUCGUACGAAUAUUUGUAUCAAAUAUAUACAUCGAUAUUAUUUUAAAAGAUGUUUGUUUCUUGGGAAUCGCGAUUAAUGAAAAGACAAACUUUUCUUUUUUUUUUUGCCAAUUCCCAUAUAGGUUGUUAAACGUUAUGCGAACUAUAGCUAAAACGUAUAAAUAUAUUUAUUUAUAUAUUUAGAUGUUUUCAACGUCUAGGUGGAAAAAUACGACGAAAGGCGAAAUAUUUUGAUAGCCUUCGUACGCAGAUGUUCUAUCUCGAAAAUUUCAACGAGACACUUCGAUGAAACGCGUAAUUAUGCAAUCGAUUAGAAUACUAUUAAUACAUUACAACAACAGUGAUUCCUCAAAUGAGAAGUUAAAUGUGGAAAUUACGCGAACCAAUGAGAGCUUAUGCCAACGUAUUUAUUUCGAGAUUCGGCUUCGGCUUUUGCGGUUUGUGGGGAAAGUACAGGCCUCAAGUUGCUCGUUAAUCACUCUACCUGAUGAUAUACGUAUGGACAUUUAAUCGAAUCAAGGUACUUCCUACCAAAACCUUGACCACCAUCGAUGAAAUAGUAUUAGAUAAAAUGCGAUAGAAAACGAUAGAGAACAAUAGCAAACUCUGUAUCAAUACCAAAAUUCAUGUAAACUUCUAUUUCUUUUUCAUGUACAUAUUACUACGACUUUCUUUAUAAACUAACGCUUCUAAGUUUUUUUUUUAAUUUAAUUUCUUUUAUCUUUUGAUAAAAAAUUUAUUUCAUGAAUUUAACAGAUUAUUAAGCGCAGAUUGUGUGUCGAUUUUUGUCAAAUUUCUACAAAUUGAAUUAUUACUAAUAGAAACAGAAUUUUUAAGUAUUCCUGGAAAGAGAAUAUAAUUGACUAACAAUAAAAUUCAAGACCAAUUUUAUUGCUAAGACAAAUACUUUUGACUUGUCACGGUACAAUAUUAGAUACAUUACACACGCAAUAUCGAGCGUGAAAAGUUUGGCAAAUAUAGUUGAAAAAUAUUUGUCUUGUAUAUAUCUAUUUCGCAUAAUAUUAUAUCCGUUUUAGAUGAUUCAGAAAACUAUUAGACAUAUUUCAUAGCUAAUUAAAUUCUUUUACCACUGUACGCGUUAAUUUAUGUUAUACACAACGUGCAAUGUGAAAAAAAUUAAAGUGUACAGUUUAGAAAUAUUUAUUUUGUAUAUGUACUUUUCCAUCGCGUUAAAUUUAUUUUACACGAGUUAUAAGUUUAUCGCGUUCCAAAGCUCGGUGUGUUAUUUUACUAAUGUGCUUUUUAAGCGGAUUAUUGAAAAAAGAUUGUCUUGUACGAUUAAUCGAAUUUUGUAUAUUUACUUUUCCAUCUCGUUACAUUUAUUUUACACGAGUUAUAAGUUCAUCCUGUUCCAAAGCUCGGUAUGUUAUUUUCCUAAUGUGCUUUUUAAGAGGAUUAUUGAAAAAAGAUUGUCUCGUACGAUUAAUUUACUUUUCCAUCGCGUUACAUUUAUUUUACACGAGUUAUAAGUGUAUCGUGUUCCAAAGCUCAGUAUGUUAUUUUACUAAUGUGCUUUUUAAGAAGAUUAUUGAAAGAAGAUUGUUUCGCAAUAAGAUUAAUCGAAAGUCUCGCAGCCAAGCUCGCAGAAAGGUAGCGUGCUUCCUCCUACUCGUCAUUUACUUGCUUAUAAAUUGUUUCAUAUCGUGAUUUACAUUAAUGUUACGCAUGUUCGCGAAUUAAGGAAAUUACCCUUGCACGUGACUGUCAUAUACGAUCCAGCGUAAUGACGUAUAAUUAAGAAACAUAUCCGUGUAACGUGGCUGUACCAACAAUAACGUUGCAAUUAAAAGAGUGGACAAUUUCGUUCAGCUCGUAACGCAAGAUUGAGAGGAAAGACGAGUCAGACUAGUUGAACGUAUUCGAGUCGUUGAACGUAAUUGAACGUAUCGCGUGUAGCAAUAUACAAGAAGAACGACAAGAGUGACAGAUUUUCAAGAAAACAAUAUAAUCGUACAAGUUGAAAAGAAUUUACGUAUCUGAUACGUUCGGAAGAAUAAGUGAGACGCUGUAAAAAUUGAUAGAAAAUUAAACUAGAAAUUUUGCCAAGAUACCUCGAAGAUUUUCUGAAACGUUGAAUCUAGAAAGCUGUUCAAAGAUUUGGAAAAAUGAAACUAAAUAUUCCACGGAAUCUCCUGUGAAAGGUAAAUCGAACAUUUUGUUAAAUUCUACCAAGUUGUACUCAACGUUCUAAUUAAAUCCGCAAAUUCGUAUUAGGCAAUUUUAGAAAGCAGCGGCUCUUAGGAAGAAUAGAAAAUUAAACUGAAAGACAUUCGAAGCUCUAAAAAAUUGCGAAAGAAUCGUAAACGCGUUUCUCUCCUCGCAAAAAUCUUUCGCAAGAAGAGAAAAAUUUCACGAAUAGCAACGAUCGAGUCGAAAAGGCUACAACAACGACCCAAGUAUCAAGGCCAAGGAUUGAUAUACUCGGAUCGACGAACAACUUUUCAUCAAAGUCAGGGAAUUAAGUGACGCGUUAUAUCAUAUCCCUUGUUAUCUCAACGAUGAUAUCCUUUCAGGCAACCACGAUAUCGAAACGUUCUUUAUCUCUACGUAGUUUAAAUAUCCUCUAGUCAACUGCGGUAUGAAAUGCCAGAUUAAGAAUACUUAAGUCUGUAACGCGGUAUGCCACAAGGACCUUGAAUUCUUCACUUUAAUCGUCCAUUGCAAUUAUCUUGGACUUAGUUAAAUCCAACAACUAGGAACUCUAAGAUAUUAUAAAUCUGUUGACAAUUGUGGAUCUUAAUUGCCGAAAUAAAAGUAAAGGAACACUAAGGUUACACUUAGAAUUCAUAUUAAAAUAGUUUUAGAUCUAUUUAAUAAACGAUUUCCAGGAUCUUCGUCGAUAUACAUUUGCACGCGUCUCGGCAUUCUCUUUGUCUCGCCAUCUUCCACCCCACACUGCCAACGGAACAGUUAGAUUCGUCUGCUUUUCGAGACACAUACAUACUUUCGCACACACAUACUUUCACACACUCAUAUUCACAUACGUGUGUCACUACUACGCGGCCAAUCUAGUCUAGCACACAAAAUUAUAAAUAUCUCAAUAAAAUCAAUUCGAGUCUCGAGUAAUAUUAAUUGUCGAUUUUUAUUUCGUUCAAAUUGGAUAGAACAAGCGGAUUCAACGGCGAAGAACGUGUCAAAUUUACGUGGUUUUCCUCUCGCGGAGUAAUUAUGCCGAGGAAUGUGACGGAAAACGACGAUUAUCCUGCAAACUGUUUCCUUCCUCUGGCGUAUCUCUUCGUCAAAUACGCGGCAACAAGGAUAACGUAUGUGAGAACGAAUCUCUCGAUUGGUUAUCUUAGGAGGAACAAAAGCAUCUAUUGUUCGCCGAACCUUCUAAUUAUGAGAAUUCUAAUGUAACGUCACAAGGAGGAACUAAGAAAUACGUACGCUCGUCGUAAAAAUCAGGUCGGUAACAAAAACGUGAGAGGUUAGUUUUCCAAAUGUCUAUAAAACAAGAGAAGAGGAAGAUUAUUGAGAUAUGUGUAAUUUUGUGUGCUACACUAGAUUAACCGCGUAGUAGUGACACACAUAUAUGAGUAUGAGUGUGUGGGAGUAUGUGCGCGCACAGCGUCUCGUAAAACAGAAGAAUACAACCGUUCCGUUGGUAAUGCGGUAAAAAAGAUGGCGAGACAAAGAAAGUACCGAGACGCGUGCAAAUGUGUAUCGACGAAUAUCUUGUAAAUCACAUAUUAAAUAAAUCCGAAACUAAUUUGAUAUCGAUUCUAAGUGUAAUCUAAGUGUUCCUAUACAUUUAUUUCGGCAAUUAAGAUCCACACUUCUCGACAAAGAUUACCAUUACCAGCCUUGUUUGCGUUCAAUUAGAGAGACAUCAAAGCGACUGAUCGAUGGAAGGAAAGGGAAUAUUUGAAACACUGAGAUAAAAUAGAUAAUUUUAAAUUGUUAUUCUUGUGAAACAAUUUAAUUUAUAUGUACUUUGUUUUAUUUAUAUUUAUACGUAUAUUUGUAACUUUUUGAAAUGUUUCUAAUUUAUUAAUUAAAUUUAUUACGUAGAUUCCUUACCUUGUUUUCCAUAAUCUAGGUAACGCAGUAUCGAUAGAAUAACCUCAUUAAUGGAAAAUAAUCGCAAUUGAUUUACAACAAAAGGUAAUUACCAAUCAAAUAAAUUCGGACUUUUAACGUUCGCUUUUUCAUUUCGUCGCGUACUUAGAACAUUAAACGGGAAUAAAAAUGAAACAUUUAUAGGUAACAGAAAAUGGCUAUAACUGGCAAUGUGUAAGUGAAAACCGCAAAAGUGGAAGCUAUCUUGCGGCCAUGUAACGUAUCCGCGUAAACACACGCACACGCAAAGUCACACACACGCCUGGUAGUGUACUCGAAAGUGGCCGUAAAUAAUCGUCGGAAGGACGUAAUAAAUACCGAGAGUUUCGGGGUAAGUAAACUUACGAGGUCGGGUGGUGAACGGAAAUUCCAUGCUCGUCGCUUCCGCCUUCCAUUUCAGCGCCCUUCUCC
Bombus huntii is the source of this 5838-nucleotide long non-coding RNA. RefSeq lists it as uncharacterized. The record is from RefSeq and is a predicted model, not a curated record. The transcript has 3 exons. Lineage: Eukaryota; Metazoa; Arthropoda; Insecta; Hymenoptera; Apidae.